CCUACGGGGGGCUGCAGUGGGGAAUAUUGGACAAUGGGGGCAACCCUGAUGCAGCCAUGCCGCGUGUGUGAAGAAGGCCCUCGGGUUGUAAAGCACUUUCAGUGAGGAAGAACGCCUGGUGGUUAAUACCCAUCAGGAAAGACAUCACUCACAGAAGAAGCACCGGCUAACUCCGUGCCAGCAGCCGCGGUAAUACGGAGGGUGCGAGCGUUAAUCGGAAUUACUGGGCGUAAAGCGCGCGUAGGUGGCUUGAUAAGCCGGUUGUGAAAGCCCCGGGCUCAACCUGGGAACGGCAUCCGGAACUGUCAAGCUAGAGUGCAGGAGAGGAAGGUAGAAUUCCCGGUGUAGCGGUGAAAUGCGUAGAGAUCGGGAGGAAUACCAGUGGCGAAGGCGGCCUUCUGGGCUGACACUGACACUGAGGUGCGAAAGCGUGGGUAGCAAACAGGAUUAGAUACCCUGGUAGUC
Molecule: ribosomal RNA, 465 nt
Filed under: Vreelandella stevensii
Lineage: Bacteria; Pseudomonadati; Pseudomonadota; Gammaproteobacteria; Oceanospirillales; Halomonadaceae
Description: partial 16S ribosomal RNA
Rfam family: Bacterial small subunit ribosomal RNA
Source: RNAcentral